Molecule: long non-coding RNA, 429 nt
Organism: Anas platyrhynchos (mallard)
Lineage: Eukaryota; Metazoa; Chordata; Aves; Anseriformes; Anatidae
Source: RefSeq, a predicted model, not a curated record
CUGUGAUCAAAGCGUAAAUGAUUCUUCCAGGAAUCAUAUUAACUCUGCCUUUCUCUCAUUUACAAAUCUGCUGCUACAGACUUUCUUUCCUCCUAGGAUUAAGCAGUUCUUUAGACACAAAUGCCUGAGAAUCUCCUUUAAUUCUCUGAGAUUAUCCAAGGGAUUCUCAACUCUUGUGCAGCUGAAUGAAUCUCUCCUAACAAAAAUGAUUGUUCUUCAAAUCCUCUCCAAACACAUGGCCGAAUAUUUAGGCAGUUGUUCUCUUGUUAGUAUACAUGAAACCUCAUGAAUUUCAUGACGGAUCAUCUCCCCGGCAGCUUGGAGUCCAUGGCUACAUAUUUGUUGAUACAGCCUGUUGAGAUCUAAGCUCUUUAAUUUGCAAUUGUAAUAUGUAAUUUUCUAGAAAUAAAAUGCAAUUCAGUCUCAGGA